AUUGAACGCUGGCGGCAGGCCUAACACAUGCAAGUCGAGCGGAUGAAGGGAGCUUGCUCCUGGAUUCAGCGGCGGACGGGUGAGUAAUGCCUAGGAAUCUGCCUGGUAGUGGGGGAUAACGUCCGGAAACGGGCGCUAAUACCGCAUACGUCCUGAGGGAGAAAGUGGGGGAUCUUCGGACCUCACGCUGUCAGAUGAGCCUAGGUCGGAUUAGCUAGUUGGUGGGGUAAAGGCCUACCAAGGCGACGAUCCGUAACUGGUCUGAGAGGAUGAUCAGUCACACUGGAACUGAGACACGGUCCAGACUCCUACGGGAGGCAGCAGUGGGGAAUAUUGGACAAUGGGCGAAAGCCUGAUCCAGCCAUGCCGCGUGUGUGAAGAAGGUCUUCGGAUGGUAAAGCACUUUAAGUUGGGAGGAAGGGCAGUAAGUUAAUACCUUGCUGUUUUGACGUUACCAACAGAAUAAGCACCGGCUAACUUCGUG
RNAcentral lists this ribosomal RNA (484 nucleotides) under uncultured bacterium. RNAcentral's name for it is "partial 16S ribosomal RNA". It matches the Rfam family "Bacterial small subunit ribosomal RNA", at positions 30 to 507 of the family's 1533-position model. The record is from RNAcentral.